GAUGAACGCUGGCGGCGUGCCUAAUACAUGCAAGUCGAGCGAACGGACGAGAAGCUUGCUUCUCUGAUGUUAGCGGCGGACGGGUGAGUAACACGUGGAUAACCUACCUAUAAGACUGGGAUAACUUCGGGAAACCGUAGCUAAUACCGGAUAAUAUUUUGAACCGCAUGGUUCAAAAGUGAAAGACGGUCUUGCUGUCACUUAUAGAUGGAUCCGCGCUGCAUUAGCUAGUUGGUAAGGUAACGGCUUACCAAGGCAACGAUGCAUAGCCGACCUGAGAGGGUGAUCGGCCACACUGGAACUGAGACACGGUCCAGACUCCUACGGGAGGCAGCAGUAGGGAAUCUUCCGCAAUGGGCGAAAGCCUGACGGAGCAACGCCGCGUGAGUGAUGAAGGUCUUCGGAUCGUNAAACUCUGUUAUUAGGGAAGAACAUAUGUGUAAGUAACUGUGCACAUCUUGACGGUACCUAAUCAGAAAGCCACGGCUAACUACGUGCCAGCAGCCGCGGUAAUACGUAGGUGGCAAGCGUUAUCCGGAAUUAUUGGGCGUAAAGCGCGCGUAGCGGUUUUUUAAGUCUGAUGUGAAAGCCCACGGCUCAACCGUGGAGGGUCAUUGGAAACUGGAAAACUUGAGUGCAGAAGAGGAAAGUGGAAUUCCAUGUGUAGCGGUGAAAUGCGCAGAGAUAUGGAGGAACACCAGUGGCGAAGGCGACUUUCUGGUCUGUAACUGACGCUGAUGUGCGAAAGCGUGGGGAUCAAACAGGAUUAGAUACCCUGGUAGUCCACGCCGUAAACGAUGAGUGCUAAGUGUUAGGGGGUUUCCGCCCCUUAGUGCUGCAGCUAACGCAUUAAGCACUCCGCCUGGGGAGUACGACCGCAAGGUUGAAACUCAAAGGAAUUGACGGGGACCCGCACAAGCGGUGGAGCAUGUGGUUUAAUUCGAAGCAACGCGAAGAACCUUACCAAAUCUUGACAUCCUUUGACAACUCUAGAGAUAGAGCCUUCCCCUUCGGGGGACAAAGUGACAGGUGGUGCAUGGUUGUCGUCAGCUCGUGUCGUGAGAUGUUGGGUUAAGUCCCGCAACGAGCGCAACCCUUAAGCUUAGUUGCCAUCAUUAAGUUGGGCACUCUAAGUUGACUGCCGGUGACAAACCGGAGGAAGGUGGGGAUGACGUCAAAUCAUCAUGCCCCUUAUGAUUUGGGCUACACACGUGCUACAAUGGACAAUACAAAGGGCAGCGAAACCGCGAGGUCAAGCAAAUCCCAUAAAGUUGUUCUCAGUUCGGAUUGUAGUCUGCAACUCGACUACAUGAAGCUGGAAUCGCUAGUAAUCGUAGAUCAGCAUGCUACGGUGAAUACGUUCCCGGGUCU
Molecule: ribosomal RNA, 1371 nt
Filed under: uncultured bacterium
Lineage: Bacteria
Description: bacterial SSU rRNA
Rfam family: Bacterial small subunit ribosomal RNA
Source: RNAcentral